This 252-nucleotide ribosomal RNA is filed under the name uncultured bacterium. RNAcentral describes it as "partial 16S ribosomal RNA". It matches the Rfam family "Bacterial small subunit ribosomal RNA", at positions 81 to 334 of the family's 1533-position model. The record is from RNAcentral.
CUUCUUGCUGGCGACCGGCGCACGGGUGAGUAACACGUAUCCAACCUGCCCUUUACUCGGGGAUAGCCUUUCGAAAGAAAGAUUAAUACCCGAUAGCAUAAUGAUUCCGCAUGGUUUCAUUAUUAAAGGAUUCCGGUAAAGGAUGGGGAUGCGUUCCAUUAGGUUGUUGGUGAGGUAACGGCUCACCAAGCCUUCGAUGGAUAGGGGUUCCGAGAGGAAGGUCCCCCACAUUGGAACUGAGACACGGUCCAA